CGUUAACUGUUUCUUCAAUUCCACUCACUGCAACAUCUUCUUCCUCUUUAAAUCCUUUCUGUUUUACAAUUUGCAUGGCCUUCUCAUAGAGCUCAAAUGCCAUUUCGAACUGUUUGUUCAAUCUAUAUGAUUUUCCUAAACCAAGGUAUACUGGAAUUUCUCGCGUUUUAUCCUCUAGUUCUCUUGCAAUUUUCAAGGCUUUUUCAAAGUUUUCAAGAUCAUGGUAUACAUCUGUUUCCUGUUCUGUAUCUCCACGUUCUUUUACAAUUUCCAAGGCUUUCUGGUAGUACUGAAUAGCCGUUUCAAACUGAUUUUUCAAUCCAUAUGCAUGUCCGAAACCAAUGUACGCAACUGUUUCCUGCUCUGUAUCUCCA
Non-coding RNA from Paramuricea clavata, 374 nucleotides. The record is from the annotation of a GenBank genome assembly. Lineage: Eukaryota; Metazoa; Cnidaria; Anthozoa; Malacalcyonacea; Plexauridae.